UGCAAGUCGAGCGGACAGAUGGGAGCUUGCUCCCUGAUGUUAGCGGCGGACGGGUGAGUAACACGUGGGUAACCUGCCUGUAAGACUGGGAUAACUCCGGGAAACCGGGGCUAAUACCGGAUGGUUGUCUGAACCGCAUGGUUCAGACAUAAAAGGUGGCUUCGGCUACCACUUACAGAUGGACCCGCGGCGCAUUAGCUAGUUGGUGAGGUAACGGCUCACCAAGGCGACGAUGCGUAGCCGACCUGAGAGGGUGAUCGGCCACACUGGGACUGAGACACGGCCCAGACUCCUACGGGAGGCAGCAGUAGGGAAUCUUCCGCAAUGGACGAAAGUCUGACGGAGCAACGCCGCGUGAGUGAUGAAGGUUUUCGGAUCGUAAAGCUCUGUUGUUAGGGAAGAACAAGUGCCGUUCAAAUAGGGCGGCACCUUGACGGUACCUAACCAGAAAGCCACGGCUAACUACGUGCCAGCAGCCGCGGUAAUACGUAGGUGGCAAGCGUUGUCCGGAAUUAUUGGGCGUAAAGGGCUCGCAGGCGGUUU
RNAcentral lists this ribosomal RNA (543 nucleotides) under Bacillus amyloliquefaciens. Its description in RNAcentral is "bacterial SSU rRNA". It matches the Rfam family "Bacterial small subunit ribosomal RNA", at positions 56 to 581 of the family's 1533-position model. The record is from RNAcentral. Lineage: Bacteria; Bacillati; Bacillota; Bacilli; Caryophanales; Bacillaceae.